AUGAAUGACAGCACUGGUCCCGCAGUGAAGCCCUCCGUGUCUCUGCUGCCGCCCUCUUCUCUGCAGAUCUCUGGAGACUCAGCCGCACUGCUCUGCCUGCUCAGCUCUUACUCUCCACAGGGGGCGCAGGUGAGCUGGACGCUGGACGGGUCAGAGGUCACCGAGGGGGUUCAGACCAGCACACAGAGAGCGAGCGGGAUGGACGCUACAGCCGCAGCAGCGUCCUGAGCCUCAGCAAAGCACGCUGGGAAGGUGCAGAUCGCUUCGUCUGCAGAGUAAAACACAACGGAGCUGAUCAAGAGGCCUCGUUCCUCAAGAGCUCCUGCUGAUGUUUCUCCAGUGAAGAGCAGCAGGAUUCACAGCAGUCACGUGAUUUACAGCUCAAUACUGAAACUGUCUUUCAAUGUGCUGCCAUUGAUGUUCAUUCAAUAAAGCUUCUGAACGCCUUA
This is a non-coding RNA of Labeo rohita (rohu), 449 nucleotides long. Lineage: Eukaryota; Metazoa; Chordata; Actinopteri; Cypriniformes; Cyprinidae. The record is from the annotation of a RefSeq genome assembly.